AAUACUUACCUGGACGGGGUCGACGAGGGAUCAAGAAGCCUCGUGGCCUAGAUCAGUGGCCUGCAUUGCACUUGGCUGGUGCGCUGGUCUACCAUCUCCCCAAGUGGGAGAGUGGACGUCAUAAUUUGUGGCAGAGGGGGUACGCGUUCGCGCGGCCCCUGCUUU
This 165-nucleotide small nuclear RNA is filed under the name Zea mays. RNAcentral's name for it is "Zm_87". It matches the Rfam family "U1 spliceosomal RNA". From Rfam's summary of the family: U1 is a small nuclear RNA (snRNA) component of the spliceosome (involved in pre-mRNA splicing). Its 5' end forms complementary base pairs with the 5' splice junction, thus defining the 5' donor site of an intron. The record is from RNAcentral. Lineage: Eukaryota; Viridiplantae; Streptophyta; Magnoliopsida; Poales; Poaceae.